Molecule: long non-coding RNA, 371 nt
Filed under: Coffea arabica (coffee)
Lineage: Eukaryota; Viridiplantae; Streptophyta; Magnoliopsida; Gentianales; Rubiaceae
Description: long non-coding RNA (CARA_LNC001589)
Source: RNAcentral
AAUCACCUUCGGCAUCACCAAAAAUCUCAUAUCCAGAGAAACCAUCAUCCACAAGGGUAGCGGUCGGAAGGGGAACUUUGUCACGGACUUUAUUUUCCUCGACUUUAUUCUUAUCGCGUACUACUUUCUUGUAUUUUGGAAGUUUGAACCACCCUUCCGUAAACAAAGGCAGUUGAUUCAGAUUCUUCAGAAACGAUGAGCUUUUCUUUGAAGCAUCAACUGGCUUUUUCUUCUCACUUUUACCCAGCAAUGCCAUAGCAAUGGCACUGGUUAUGAAAAGCUGGCAAAUUGCGCAUUUGAUUUGUUCAUGCCUCUCGAAAGACGACGACUGUGUAAGGCCAAUCAUGGUCUUGACCCUAAGAACUCUGCGU